GUCUCCGUAGUUCAAUGGAAGAACAAGGGACUCCUAAGCCCUAGAUCGUGGUUCAAUUCCACGUGGAGACACCA
RNAcentral lists this transfer RNA (74 nucleotides) under Patescibacteria group bacterium. RNAcentral's name for it is "tRNA-Arg". It matches the Rfam family "tRNA". From Rfam's summary of the family: Transfer RNA (tRNA) molecules are approximately 80 nucleotides in length. Their secondary structure includes four short double-helical elements and three loops (D, anti-codon, and T loops). The record is from RNAcentral.